AAUUCCUAGCACCACAUUAAAAAAAUAAAAAUAUUGUGUCCAUCUAUAAUUUAAAAUAUUUUUAAAAUGUUAUUUCCAGCCAACUGACUAGUGGCAGAACAGAGAUAAAGACUCGGUAUUUGUUUCAUUCUCAUUUUCACUCUUGGUUUUGUUUUGUGCUACCAUGUUCUUUUAAUAUCUAGAACUUUAAUAAAAUCCUGUCAGAUGAAACCCUAUGCUAAGAUGAUAGGAGGGCCCAUGUCUAUAAAAGUGCCCUGAGAUUUCUCGGUUGAGCAGUUUGUCUGCGUGGUAUACUAGAAAGCACUCACACCCUCAAGGAGCAGAGUCUGACCAGCCAGGAUAUAUGUUCCAGGGGACAGGCUGGUGUCCUAUGUGGCAUGCAACUUCAGGAAAGUACAAGAAAGGUCUUUUUUUCCUCAUGUAGAACUUAUGCCUUUGGCUUCCUGGGGUUGGGCAAUGCUGCCCUGAUCUGCCACUGCAUACUUAAACAGUGACAUGGACAUCACCGGUGCUUUUGCUUUUGCUACUUUUUGCUCAAAGAAGUCAAGUACAAGGUGAAUCUGCCAUAUAUGGAGUAAAAGGGAAGUAUAUAAUCAUAACUACUAAACCAGAGGCUGAAUAUGGGGUUGAUCAUAUAUAUGUGAUACCAUGUCCUAAGUAGAGGCCAAAUGUGACUGUGUGUGUGACACUAUCUCCUGAACCAGAGUUUGGAUGCAUGGUCAACCACGUGUGUGUGACACCAUCUUCUGGACCAGAGUUGAGUUGUUGGCUGAUCAAACAUUUGAACCUAAGACUCUGAAACGCCAACCCUUGUGGUAUAUUUAUUCAAGAGUCCUCAUUUAAUUAGUUUUUAUUUUAAUGUUAUCAUUAUCUUAAUAGCUAUGGCUGAAGACUGUUUUCUUUUUCUGUCCUGACUUUUAUUUUAGCAGCUUUUGUUAGCUUCUUAGAUUUGACUGUGGAGCAUCUCUGAGGCACCUGGAAAGGGAAGAGGCUACUACUUUGUCAUAUGGUUAGGCCAAUUUUCCUCUUUAAAGACAUCAAGAGCAGAGGGAGGGGGAUGAGGAUAGAAAGUACAUUCCUUGCCUGUAUGGUUUUGUUAAAAUGAAUCCGGUUAAAUGCUCUAAUUUUUAAAAAUGUGAAGAACACGCCUCUAUAAGAUCUAAAUGCUGUCCAGCUUCCACGGAAGUCAUGCUGUGGGCUGCACCAGCCUGUUCCCAGCGUGGCCAGGAAGUGCUGCUUGCAGAUUCUCUGGCCCUUCUCAGGCUUGGGGAAUGAGACCUGCCAACAUCUCACUCCGGUUUUGAAGCCUUAGGGAAGUUGUGCCACCCUUGUGAAGAGUUCUUAGAAGCUGCCUGCAGCAGCUCCUCCAGGUCAGCGCCCCGAGGGGCCAGUGCAGAACAGAGGAAGGAUCAGAGAAGGAGGCUACUGGAGGCUCUGAAAGGACAGGACAUGAAGCUGGCUGGCCUUGCUGUGCUAUGAGAACAUUAGGUACUGAGAUGUGCUUUUCCAGGAAACCAGAAUGUGCUCAUUUCUGAUGUUCAGUUGGAAAUAGGAGCAGGGUGUAUUCAGACACUUCCCAAAUUCUGGGGACACACCAGUAAGAGAUUAAAUCCUGAUUUCUGAAGGUAGACAGCAGUCAAGCACACCAGAGUACCCCUGGGCCUAGGGAGAGUUGUGAGGUGCAUAGAGCAGGUAUGUUUCCUCUGUGGGCCAUCUUCAUGGCUGCAAGACCCGAGUGGYGCCCCACAGCCAGAGUGUGGUCAAGGUCUUGGGCAGCUCUGUGUAGGGCAGCGGGAGAUAGCAGCAGAGGAAGCAGACCCCUCCCACUUCACUCCAAGCUUGUCUCACUGCAUGGGAAGUCAGGUGAGCAGCAGGGUGAAUGUUCAAUGACGUAGGUUAGACGUGACAACCACCAGGGUGUGGGGAGCAGAGGGCCCCUGGGAUGGCGAGGGCCUGGGGCACCUUCCUGUAAGUGGGCAGCAGUGGGGCCUGCACUGUCUACCCAUGACCAUGCCAGUGCUGUUGUGGGUGCCUCCAAGCAGGAGGGAAUCACUGCACCUGCUCUGCCUCACAGGCCUGUCUCUGGCUCCUUGGUGCACAGGCUUGGGACACCACUUCACAGAGUCCUUGCUGCUGGGUGAUAAGAGUACAUCUAUAAAACAGAUGCCUGUCACCGAGCAGUGUCUGCUAACAUUCCCCAAGGACCAACAGUGGAAAUGGUGGAGAGGUCUGUGAGCUAGCACUCCCGCAAGGCAGCUGGAACACCCACAGCAAUGUGGCACGAGGGCAGGGUAGAGCGAGGAGAUCCACAGAAGGCCAGCCCUUCACAGGGAUGCAGGUUUUGAAAGUGAAUCUAGUAAUGCAGACGAGCAUCCGAAUCAAUAACGUGGUGUGGCCUGAUAUGGGUGGUUUUCCUUAUUUUAUAGGCCUCAUGUGAUGGAGUUUUAUCAUUUUUUAGAUUUUAGGACAAAACCAUAGAUUUAGAAUUCUACAUUUAAUAACUCAAACUUUUGUAUGAUUCCAAAAGUAUGAGCCAAAUUUCAUGAAAUUUUCUUUUGAUUGUGCCUGCAGUCUAGCAAUCAAUGAAAAAAUGUAACUGGUAGCUUGGUUGGAGUUGAUAUGAAGUCAUUUAAAGGAUCAGCUCCUUCCUUUUAGCCCCGCGUCGCCGUCGCCCCGCAUCACCGUCUGAUCAUCUGACUGGUACUGACCUCCUGGCUGCUGCCUCUGAGCUGCACAGGGUGGGCACAGGCAUGGCUUGGGGAUGAUGAGAGUGGUCUCUUGGUGCAGAAGACACCACAGCUGCGUGACUCACAGGAUAGCCCCAGGCUUCUCAGACAGACUUGAUCGGUCGCCUGGAGAAAACCAUAGAGAAUUGACUUCUCAGAUUUUGUGAAGCUGAAGAGGAGUUUUAACCUACAGCGCACAUUGCACAGCUCUAAUAAAGCAGAUGAUACCCGUGGGCGUGGAACUCUGGCAGAAAACAGAGCUGGCCAAAAAAAAAAAAAACGCAAAUGGAAACAGCUGCUGCCUUCUUCACUCCACUGGAGACGGUGAGGCCAUGCAGCCCCCCACAGAGGGGUGCUGGCUUCACAGCCUGAAGGGGUUGUCACCAACUCAUGUGUCUCAUGUUGGUGUGGGUUUGGGACAGACCUCCUUUCUUAAGUGUGCCUUGUCCUGUGUCCCUCAUCGAUCUGGUGGAAAGUAGAUCUGGAGUGUGAGUGGCUUCUUCAGUAGCUUGAGGUUCCAGUCCACCCACUUGUCUGUAUGGGCAAGGGUCCGCCACGUGUCAUCCUAAGCAAGGGGACAAGAGGGCAGUAUCUCCCCUUCAUGUAAGGUGCCCGAUGUGCCUGGCGGAGACAAGCCACUGUCAUCUUGAAUUCCUCAUCACUCCAUUCCUUCACUCUCGUGUUUCACCAUGAAGCAUGCUGCAUGCACACAAACGAAGCUGAGAGGCCAGCACAAGGGCCCUUGUGUGCCCCUUGCCCUAACAGUAACUACCCACAGCCACCUUGCAGUGUUCCCCAACCUACUACCUCCCCACAGACUAUUUUGAAGCAAAUCUCCAAAUUCUGUAAUUCCAUCUGCAAGUAUUUUAGUGCCUCUAAAAGACACUGAUCGUAUUUUAAUGAAAUCACAGUAUCAUAAUCCUAAUUAAUCACAGGAGUAACUCUUAACUCCUAAUGUUAAAAUCUUGUCUCAACUAUCCAUGAACAGUGUGUUGACAGCUGGAGCAGUCUCUCCCUCUCUCUCUCAUUGCUUGCCAAGUUCACUUGAAGUCCACUUGCCAAGGAAGCAAGAUGACUUGUGAGUCCCCACACUGGAUGUCACCAAUGGUAGUCCUGUGGUCUCUUCUCCGUCUUCCCAGACGUCAGUAGAUUUUGAGGUUUCAGUUUCUCAUCAGCAGUACUUUAUGUUCAUAUAAGUCUCACUGGUUAAGUGAGCAAAUUAGAACUGCUUCUACUAGUUAGAUAACAAUGUAUGGAGACAGAAAUCUUUGUGUGAUGUGUUAUCACUGAGUCUUGAGUUUGCCAAUCUGACACAGACUCCAUUUUUUACGAAGAGCCGAAGCUGCACUUUAGAUCAUCCAAUCAGAUGCAGCAGGACUGGCUGUCCUCUCCAGGGCCCUUCCUGCCUGCAAGGUGGCACCUACCUUCACGCAGACAGCUCAGGACAAUAGUCCCCACACCUGCCGAUGGGUCACAGUGGCUGGGAAGCACCUCUCCCCGUCUCAGCUUCUCCUCAAGGGUAUGUUUUCUACUCUUUGUGUUACCCCACUCUGCAUUAGUAUAAAUAUCACUGGCUUUCUCUAGCAACAAAUCUCCCGGAUUUUCUGGUCCAUUAGUUAAGGACUGUUUCUCUCGUCCUUGUGGUUGCCCUUACAGCUCAUGAAGCCCCUGUAUCAGCACUAUUUUCUAUGCUCCUAACUGGCUGGUAGCCUGAUUGACAUGUCUUCUUCCAAGGGACAGCAGCAAUGACGCACCCCGUCUGUGUCCUUGCCCCUGUGGCCAUCAUCUUCAUUAUUGCUGCGCAGAGACUAUUUCUGGUGGUGCAUCCCAGCGACAGCUGUGGGCCACAUUUAACCUGCAACUGAAGGCUCACAUGGGACCCUUUGUGCUUCAGCCAUGCAGACAGCUCUGCCUGACAUAAGCGGCAGCAGCAGGGUAACUGUGACUCGGGAGUCUCUGGAGAUUCAGGUAGUCCAGGUUUCCUUUUAGAAACUUCAGAGUCAAGCUAUUCUUAGCAAUGACUUCCAAGCUCCAGCUGCCUGGCCAGCUCCCUGCCUGUGUCUCAGAUACCCAGUGGCCUUAAAAGGAGAGGACUGGAGAAAUGUCACCCUGAGUCAGAGCCCGGCUGCACAGGCCAGCAGUCAACUCCACUGUCUCCACGACCCAGGGCCCUGGAGAUGAGCCCAGGGGGACUGGGGCUAGGUGUCCCCUUGCUUUGUCUUCUGACGGUCACAUUUCUUGCAGAACCAAGCUACCUGGAAUCCAGUGUGCUUGGUGGAAGCACCCCACAUGCCACCUGUGUGGUGUUGCCCCAGAGCUGGGCAUCCUGGAGUGGGCCUUUGCCAGAUAGACUCUGGAGGCUCUUGGUGGGCCAGGCCUUCCUACCAAGCCUGGAGUGCUAGCCCUGCCUCUGGGAAAACCACGUCCAUGAGCCAGCUGCCUGGAAACUGCUCAUCUUCAGACUGUAGCUCCUGGCACCUGUCUGUGGGGCAGCUCGCACCCCUCCCUAUGCCUCCUGCUCCUUUCCCGACCCUACCCCUACACAUUCACUCUGUGCUCAUAUUCCCCAGAGGGCAACGGCCUCACUACCUCUAUACGCUAGCUCCACGGCUACCAUUAUUGCUUAAUAAUUACUUGUUAUAAAAUAAUUAAUUCAGUAGUCUUUUUGUGACUAAAACUUUGGCUGGCUGUUAUAAAUGACUUUGAUUCUUGAAGAAUGUGUUGCUAUACUAGAUGCGGUUUUGCAAAAUAAACUUUCCAAAUGUGCAAUAGGAGUGGGGUAGAAGAGAUAAAAAGAGUUCUCGGGGUAGCUUGAGGGACUGCUGAGCUGGCUCCUCCUCCCCACCCAGUGGGAGCUUGGUCUCCAUGGUAAGGGUUUCUUUUCUGAGCUUAGGAAGCAGCAGCUGCCAGGGAGGACUGGGACAGCGCUGUGCAGCUGACUAGGGCCUUGCUAUUGGCCUCAAUGCUUUGCCCGUGUCUGGCUUGAUGCCCUGUCAGCCGCCUUAGAGCUGGCUGCCAGCCCCUGGCUACUCCCCAAGGUCUGGGGGUCACUUUGUGACAAACAGCCCUGAGAUUUGGGACUUGCUUUUUUCAUCCUCUUCCUGUUUUGCAGUUUCCUAUGUGCAAAAUUUCCUAUGAGCACCGGCCUCACUCCUCCUCCUCUUGGAGCCAAGCACCUGCCCUGGAGUCACCACCUCUGGUGGAAGCAAAGCAGGGAGCAGCAGCUGCAGGUGGCCUGGCCUCUUAGAGAGGCAGAACCACAGCUUCCAGGCCAGGAGUCCCCUGUGCUUCUCCUUUGCUAGCAAAACAAUAAACCUUCUUCCUUUU
Molecule: non-coding RNA, 6053 nt
Organism: Urocitellus parryii (Arctic ground squirrel)
Lineage: Eukaryota; Metazoa; Chordata; Mammalia; Rodentia; Sciuridae
Source: RefSeq, a predicted model, not a curated record